Molecule: ribosomal RNA, 253 nt
Filed under: uncultured bacterium
Lineage: Bacteria
Description: partial 16S ribosomal RNA
Rfam family: Bacterial small subunit ribosomal RNA
Source: RNAcentral
UACGAACUGUGCGAACGUUAUUCGGAAUCACUGGGCGUAAAGGGCGCGUAGGCGGCCUGCUAAGUCGAACGUGAAAUCCCUGGGCUCAACCCAGGAACUGCGUCCGAUACUGGUUGGCUUGAAUUCGGGAGAGGGAUGCGGAAUUCCAGGUGUAGCGGUGAAAUGCGUAGAUAUCUGGAGGAACACCGGUGGCGAAGGCGGCAUCCUGGACCGAGAUUGACGCUGAGGCGCGAAAGCCAGGGGAGCAAACGGG